AGAAAAGCAGUGCCUUGUUGCCUAUUGUGAACUGGGUUCUCGGUACACUUCAGGGAAAUUGUUUUCAUUGUUAUUGGGUGAACCUCUGUUAUUCUAGUGACUGUUGGUUCAGUAAAUGAUGAAACAUUA
RNAcentral lists this small nucleolar RNA (129 nucleotides) under Manihot esculenta (cassava). RNAcentral describes it as "Small nucleolar RNA snoR74". It matches the Rfam family "Small nucleolar RNA snoR74". Lineage: Eukaryota; Viridiplantae; Streptophyta; Magnoliopsida; Malpighiales; Euphorbiaceae. The record is from Rfam by way of RNAcentral.